UACGUAGGGGGCAAGCGUUGUCCGGAAUCAUUGGGCGUAAAGCGCGCGUAGGCGGCCUGGUAAGUCCGCUGUGAAAGUCAAAGGCUCAACCUUUGAAUGUCAGCGGAUACUGCCGGGCUAGAGUCCGGAAGAGGCGAGUGGAACUCCUGGUGUAGCGGUGGAAUGCGCAGAUAUCAGGAAGAACACCAACGGCGAAGGCAGCUCGCUGGGACGGAACUGACGCUAAGGCGCGAAAGCGUGGGGAGCGAACAGG
This 253-nucleotide ribosomal RNA is filed under the name uncultured bacterium. Its description in RNAcentral is "partial 16S ribosomal RNA". It matches the Rfam family "Bacterial small subunit ribosomal RNA", at positions 524 to 776 of the family's 1533-position model. The record is from RNAcentral.